GACAGAGGGUGCAAACGUUGUUCGGAAUUACUGGGCGUAAAGAGCGCGCAGGCGGUCGAUCAAGUCGAGUGUGAAAGCCCCCGGCUCAACUGGGGAGGGUCAUUCGAUACUGAUCGACUCGAAGGCAGGAGAGGGUAGUGGAAUUCCCGGUGUAGUGGUGAAAUGCGUAGAUAUCGGGAGGAACACCAGUGGCGAAGGCGACUACCUGGCCUGUUCUUGACGCUGAGGCGCGAAAGCUAGGGGAGCAAACAGG
RNAcentral lists this ribosomal RNA (253 nucleotides) under uncultured bacterium. RNAcentral describes it as "partial 16S ribosomal RNA". It matches the Rfam family "Bacterial small subunit ribosomal RNA", at positions 524 to 776 of the family's 1533-position model. The record is from RNAcentral.